Long non-coding RNA from Austrofundulus limnaeus, 502 nucleotides. RefSeq lists it as uncharacterized. The record is from RefSeq and is a predicted model, not a curated record. NCBI's taxonomy places the organism in Eukaryota, Metazoa, Chordata, Actinopteri, Cyprinodontiformes, Rivulidae. The transcript is spliced from 3 exons.
GUCUGAAGUCUCACUAAGGGCGAAGUGGUUGAGAUGUGCAGAGAGCGCCCCCUGCCGGUCAGGAUGAAACACUGCCUCCUCUCAGGUGUCUUCAGUUGUUCGCUGCAGAGAUCAGAGGCGUGAAGAACAUUCACACUGAUUUGAAACGAAGCAUGCGUCCUCAGAGGGAGGAGGUGGGUUCCUGUAGCGUUUUUGGGUUCGGCCCAGCUGAGUCCCAGGAGCAAGGGCUGACACCCCAACCAACACGGUAUCUAAGAUCCAAGGAAUACUCAAGCUCCUUCACAACGCUGUGAUUCUGUGAUGGGAACUCAUCUGAGGUGGUUGAAGCGUCUGAAGAGGAUGCCACCACUCCUCCUUCAUAUGGAUGUUUUCCAGGCAAAACCUACUGGGAGGAGAAUAACUGGCAGGCCCAGAGCUCUCUACUAUAUAUCCUAUCUGACCUGAGAAAAUAUGGUAACGCUUUCUUUUAUGGUACCCUUAUUACCAUGUAAUUAAAAGCUAA